This 68-nucleotide transfer RNA is filed under the name Marmota monax (woodchuck). RNAcentral's name for it is "tRNA.Ala". The record is from RNAcentral. Lineage: Eukaryota; Metazoa; Chordata; Mammalia; Rodentia; Sciuridae.
GGAUUGUGGCUCAGUGGUAGAGUGCUUGCCUAGCACAUGUGAGGCACUGGGUUCAAUCCUCAGCACCA